CGCGUAGGUGGUUCUGUAUGUCUACCGUGAAAGCGUACGGCUCAACCGUAUUUUGUCGGUAGAAACUGCAGGACUUGAGGCGUGGGGAGGGGCUGGUGGAAUUCCCUGUGUAGCGGUGAAAUGCGUAGAGAUGGGGGAGAACACUCGUGGCGAAGGCGGCCAGCUAGACCAGUUCUGACACUGAGGCGCGACAGCGUGGGGAGCAAACA
RNAcentral lists this ribosomal RNA (209 nucleotides) under uncultured bacterium. RNAcentral describes it as "partial 16S ribosomal RNA". It matches the Rfam family "Bacterial small subunit ribosomal RNA", at positions 568 to 774 of the family's 1533-position model. The record is from RNAcentral.